Molecule: long non-coding RNA, 623 nt
Filed under: Heterocephalus glaber (naked mole-rat)
Lineage: Eukaryota; Metazoa; Chordata; Mammalia; Rodentia; Bathyergidae
Description: lncRNA (ENSHGLG00000048788.1)
Source: RNAcentral
AGGGCCUUGAAACAGACCUGUGGCCUACUGUCUAAAAGACUUGAUCCUGUGGCAAGUGGAUGGUCUACCUGUUUGAGGGCAGUUGCAGCCACCACCCUCCUGGUCAAGGAGGCAGAUAAGCUCAGCCUAGGAUGGGACCUGGUCAUCACCACACCCCAUGCAGUGGAAACAUUGCUGAGAGGAGCCCCAGACUAUGGCUCUCCAACGCCUGCCUGACUCAGUACCAGGCCCUGUUGCUGGAUGCUCCAUGCAUCAAAUUCACCUGAGAAAUGACCCUCAAUCUGGCCACCUUACUCCUGGACUCUGACUCAUAUGCAUGCCCCUCCAUAACUGUCUGGACACUCUGACAACUUCCACCACCAACUGCCCAGAUCUGACUGAUGUUCCCCUGCAAAGCCCAGAUGAGACCUUCUUCACCAAUGGAAACAGCUUAGUGGAAGACUGAGUCAGGACUGACCUCUAUGGUCCAGGACAUCAGUUCCAGGUGUCAGGUGUGUACACAGUUAAACUCCAAGGCAAGACCAAGGAACAAAGUCUCUUCAAGCCUUACAGAUUCUUCAGAGUGAGAUCCAGGCUACAAAACAACAGGCUCAAGAAAAACCCUUUGCGACGUUCCAGCCCCA